Molecule: ribosomal RNA, 253 nt
Filed under: uncultured bacterium
Lineage: Bacteria
Description: partial 16S ribosomal RNA
Rfam family: Bacterial small subunit ribosomal RNA
Source: RNAcentral
UACGUAGGGUGCAAGCGUUGUCCGGAAUUAUUGGGCGUAAAGAGCUCGUAGGCGGUUUGUCGCGUCUGCUGUGAAAACUGGAGGCUCAACCUCCAGCCUGCAGUGGGUACGGGCAGACUAGAGUGCGGUAGGGGAGAUUGGAAUUCCUGGUGUAGCGGUGGAAUGCGCAGAUAUCAGGAGGAACACCGAUGGCGAAGGCAGAUCUCUGGGCCGUAACUGACGCUGAGGUGCGAAAGCCAGGGGAGCAAACGGG